GAGUUUGAUCCUGGCUCAGGACGAACGCUGGCGGCGUGCUUAACACAUGCAAGUCGAGCGAGAAAGCUCCUUCGGGAGUUAGUACAGCGGCGAACGGGUGAGUAACACGUGGGCAACCUGCCCUAGGGAGCGGGACAACCCGGGGAAACUCGGGCUAAUACCGCAUGAUUCGCCGGGCCUCAAGGCCCGGCGGGAAAUGGUAGCUUCGGCCUCCGCCCUAGGAUGGGCCCGCGCCGCAUUAGCUUGUUGGUGGGGUAACGGCUCACCAAGGCGACGAUGCGUAGCUGGUCUGAGAGGACGAUCAGCCACACUGGGACUGAGACACGGCCCAGACUCCUACGGGAGGCAGCAGUGGGGAAUCUUGCGCAAUGGGCGGAAGCCUGACGCAGCAACGCCGCGUGUGGGAAGACGGCCUUCGGGUUGUAAACCACUUUCAGGGGGGACGAAGCUUCCGAGGUUAAUAGCCUACGGGGUGACGGUACCCCCAGAAGAAGCCCCGGCUAACUACGUGCCAGCAGCCGCGGUAAUACGGAGGGUGCAAGCGUUGUUCGGAAUUAUUGGGCGUAAAGCGCGUGUAGGCGGCUUGGCAAGUCGGGUGUGAAAUCCCGGGGCCCAACCCCGGAACUGCAUUCGAAACUGCCUCGCUAGAG
RNAcentral lists this ribosomal RNA (650 nucleotides) under uncultured bacterium. RNAcentral's name for it is "bacterial SSU rRNA". It matches the Rfam family "Bacterial small subunit ribosomal RNA", at positions 9 to 646 of the family's 1533-position model. The record is from RNAcentral.